This 492-nucleotide ribosomal RNA is filed under the name uncultured bacterium. RNAcentral's name for it is "partial 16S ribosomal RNA". It matches the Rfam family "Bacterial small subunit ribosomal RNA", at positions 29 to 507 of the family's 1533-position model. The record is from RNAcentral.
AGUGAACGCUGGCGGUAUGCCUAACACAUGCAAGUCGAACGACAGCACAGUAAGAGCUUUCUCUUACGGGUGGCGAGUGGCGGACGGGUGAGGAAUACAUCGGCAUCUACUUUUUCGUGGGGGAUAACGUAGGGAAACUGACGCUAAUACAUCAUAUGACCUACGGGUUAAAUCAGGGGAUCUUUGGGCUUUGCGUGAUUGAUUGAGCCGAUGUCGGGUUACCUAGUUUGCGGGGUAAAGGCCCACCAAGGCGACGAUCCGUAGCGGGUCUGAGAGGAUGAUCGGCCACACUGGAACUGAGACACGGUCCAGACUCCUACGGGAGGCAGCAGUGGGGAAUAUUGGACAAUGGGCGCAAGCCUGACCCAGCAAUACCGCGUGGGUGAAGAAGGUCUUCGGGUUGUAAAGCCCUUUUGUUGGGAAAGAAAAGCAGCAGGUGAAUACCCCGAUGUUUUGACGGUACCCAAAGAAUAAGCACCGGCUAACUUCGUG